GAGCAACGCCGCGUGAGUGAAGAAGGGUUUCGGCUCGUAAAGCUCUGUUGGUAGUGAAGAAAGAUAGAGGUAGUAACUGGCCUUUAUUUGACGGUAAUUACUUAGAAAGUCACGGCUAACUACGUGCCAGCAGCCGCGGUAAUACGUAGGUGGCAAGCGUUGUCCGGAUUUAUUGGGCGUAAAGCGAGUGCAGGCGUUUCAAUAAGUCUGGUGUGAAAGCCUUCGGCUCAACCGGAGAAUUGCAUCAGAACCUGUUGAACUUGAGUGCAGAAGAGGAGAGUGGAACUCCAUGUGUAGCGGUGGAAUGCGUAGAUAUAUGGAAGAACACCAGUGGCGAAGGCGGCUCUCUGGUCUGCAACUGACGCUGAGGCUCGAAAGCAUGGGUAGCGAACAGGAUUAGAUACCCUGGUAGUCCAUGCCGUAAACGAUGAGUGCUAAGUGUUGGGAGGUUUCCGCCUCUCAGUGCUGCAGCUAACGCAUUAAGCACUCCGCCUGGGGAGUACGACCGCAAGGUUGAAACUCAAAGGAAUUGACGGGGGCCCGCACAAGCGGUGGAGCAUGUGGUUUAAUUCGAAGCAACGCGAAGAACCUUACCAGGUCUUGACAUCCAGUGCAAACCUAAGAGAUUAGGUGUUCCCUUCGGGGACGCUGAGACAGGUGGUGCAUGGCUGUCGUCAGCUCGUGUCGUGA
RNAcentral lists this ribosomal RNA (690 nucleotides) under Lactobacillus gasseri. RNAcentral describes it as "bacterial SSU rRNA". It matches the Rfam family "Bacterial small subunit ribosomal RNA", at positions 389 to 1070 of the family's 1533-position model. The record is from RNAcentral. Lineage: Bacteria; Bacillati; Bacillota; Bacilli; Lactobacillales; Lactobacillaceae.